RNAcentral lists this long non-coding RNA (400 nucleotides) under Homo sapiens (human). RNAcentral's name for it is "HSALNT0406113". The record is from RNAcentral. Lineage: Eukaryota; Metazoa; Chordata; Mammalia; Primates; Hominidae.
ACCCGGGCUGCGCUGAUCUUUGCAUUCAAGCAUUCAUCCGCAACACAGGACAAAAGACAUCGCCUGCCUGGAAAGGCGAAGUCGCCCCGCCAGAAGUCCGAAGCUGCAGUGAGGUGUGGCUUCUAAGCACUGAUCCAUCCUAACAUGUCCCGAGGCCGUCAGGCCUCCUAGUUUAGAUAGCAGCAGGCACAACAGCCUUCACAGGAACUGUUGCCUGCCUUUGUGCCCAGCUCUAGCCAGAACCUGCGCAGGCUGUCAUCCUUCCACCCCGUAAGGAGAAACGGAGGCCAACCCUCAGCUCCUGUCCUGUUUCAGCAUCAAUUCCCAAAAGGAGCCAUUUCUUUCUUCAGGAUGAGGCUUCUGCAGAACUGUUCAGGUAACAAGUGAAACCUAAUCUUGU